UCAGUAACCAUUUCAUCUAACCAAACGGCCCCUACACUCCUCUUCAACCAAGCGUAACCCUAACUCACCCCUAGCCAAAAUCGCCGUCACUUCGAUCACGUCACGUCACCAUCACCGCAUCCAUCAGACCACAGAACCAAACACCCCACUCUCUCUUCAACCGAAAACCCUUAAGUUCGUUGGUUUGAAGCAAUAGCCGCCUCCACUGCUACCACGUCUUUUCCCCCUUUGAUUGACGUGGUGACAGAGCCGAUAGGAGAUCAUCAACCUCUGUGGAAGAGGAGUGCAAUGAACCGCCGGUUUCAAGCUCGACUCUUAUUCGACCCGGUGGGUAAAGUCUCGUCGGCUAUCAGACCCGCGAAUCCACUAGAUUCGGAGUCCCAACAAAUCCACAGCCAUCAAAUCUUAUCUGAAAAGCUGUAUUAUUUUGGUUGUUCUCGGCUAAGCAAGGAUUGCUUAAAGCGGAUUCGGAGACUCGACAACUACACUAGCCUCAGUUCGCUGUCCCGAAGAAGGUAAUCACACUCGUUUUCUCUUCGUCUUUAAUUCCUUAGAAGUAAAAUGUAGUCGUCGAGUCGUUUAUUCAUCUCGACCUAUUUAAAUCUGUUUGUUGCUCUGUGUGCUCUGAAUAUGUGACGAAAUGGUUAAUACAAGCUAUUAUACUUAGAAAGAAUGAUAAUUUAGCUUGAAGAACAUGUGAACAGUGAUGUCGUCUUGCUUUAAAUUAGUUUUCUUUAAUCUUGAGGGGCUGUUGCGAUUUACUUUUUUUUUGGGCACUUAUACAGUGUAGCUAAGGUUUUUCUGGUGACUUGAAUAAGAAUAAGAAUGCACUUUCUUGGUCUUGUUCAUAUGAUGUAUUGGUCGAAGAUGUAUAUAGGAAUAUGUAACUAAUUGAAGUGACUUUGUUGAGCUUAACUUCUGCUUGGGUGAUUAAUGAAUUCAUUUUUUCUUUCUUCAUAUUAUUGGUUCUGAAAAAUCGUAAGAAAAAUAGCUUCGGUCGUUCAACUUGUCGGAUGUGCGAUUAACAUGUUGCUCGUGUAAAUUCUAUUUUUCUUGGGGGGACUAUUUCGCCAUGAACCUUUCUUGAAAUCGAUGUAUAAAUAUUCUAUGGUAUCUUAUGACUUGAGAGGAAAAAGUUACUAUUUUGAUUGGAAAAAAAAGAAGAAGAGAAAGUUACUAUUUUGGUUAGAGAAAAAGGAUACUAUUUUGAUUAAAAAAAGAGAGUUGCUAUUUUGGUUAGACAACAAAGCUACUUAUCUUGAUUAAAGGAAAAGGUAAUGAUUCGUGAAAUUAAAUCUAUCGAUCAUGUGAAUAACUUCGUCGCUUGGCUAACUUUCCUGUUUCCGCAAGUUGUUCUUAUUUUCCAUCUAACUAAGUAGUUAACCUUCUUUUUUGUAUCGUUAUUUCACAAACGAAUAUCUAAAUAUAUGAACUGCCUCUUGCUUGUUUAACUUACUGUUAUAAGCAUGUUUUAUUGGUUUCUAUGCUUUUGACUGUCAAAAUAUAUGAGUAUUUGAAAGAGUGAUUGUUUUACUACAAUGAACUUUUUGGACGAAAAAUUAUCAUGAUUAACCUAGAUAUUUCUAUGAAAGGCUGUUAGCAGCACUCUGAAGGGAUUGUUUAGCCAUAACGCUCAAAAUAAAUAAAUAAAUGUACAUUAGUUUGGUUUGAAACUGAUUAGUAUCUGUUAAGUAGUCAGGGCAUAUUAUGGAUUUACACUCUAUGAUUGCUUGUAUGGUGCCAUUGAGCUUUAUGUUUUAAUAGAAAAACUUGCUUCCUUUAAGAUUCAAAUAAUUCAGUUUGGGAUUUUAUGACACGGAAACAUAAAAAAUGCAUUAUAGGGCAGUAGGUUGUCUGCUAUUUAAAUGUAUAAGAACAUAUCAUGAAAAAUUUGUUUGAAGCUUUGUCGCUGUUUUGUUUUCUCUUGUAUACCCCCCCCCCCCCCCCCCCCCCUUUUUUUUUUUUUUUUUUGACAAAGAAUAUCAAAGCAUAUAAAUUUUUAUGUAUUACCUGAGUCUGAAAAGACUUAUCUUGAAUUAGUGUUACGCUGUGUCGUAAGAUAAAAUGUGAGAUUUUGUUACGAAACAGUAAAUAGUUUCUGUCAAACACCUUUUCUAUGAUCUGAACCAUCCUCUUUGGUUCUGUUCUAUUCAAGUCGCUAGGAAUGUUAUUAUUAGUUUUAUGGGAGGAACAACAUGUGGGUAGAUUUGGUUUGUCUAUUCUUCAAACAAAUAGUCUUCUGUAUGCUUAGUAUUUUUUUUUCAUUGUUAGCAAGCCCUUUCCGAGGUAACAAGUUACAAGGAUUCAAAAUUUGUCGAGUUUGUUGACGACUGUUUAUUCUUCUAAUGUUUUUUGUUUUUUUGGAAGUUGGCUAAUAACAUGGGCUUGUAAAGUAUGUUAAAAAUUACCAUUGAGAUUUGCUAAGGCUACUAAGGCUGUUAAGAGUUUUGUUUGGUUAAGUAUUUUUUCCAGAAUAUGAUUAACUCUUUAACAACUUCCUUGAAGUUCAGACUUUAAAUUCCUUGUUAGCAUUCUGGUUGUAUUUUUUCCUUGUGAACUACUAUAACUAGAUAAUUUUUGGUGUAUCUUACCAAACCAUACAAAGAUUUAUGAGUUGUUCUUACUUGAGCAUUUAAGUUUGUUUGCUGCAUAACAUUAGUGACAAGUAUAAUAUUGUAGCUCCAUGUUUCGAAAGUUAAAGGAAGCGCACAAGAUUUGUUUAAUUUAUUUGAGGUUACUAAUUGAAUUCAUCUUUCAUUUAGAAGUAUCUGUUUCCAAGUUCCUAUGAUUGUACGCUUUCUUCUAGAUUAUAUGACGUUCAGUUAAGUUUUUGAUGUUACUGAUCAUUGAGAUUUGUACCUAAUCCUUUUCUUUUCUUUCUUUUCACAUGAACACCAUGGGAGUUUGUUGGAGUUGUGGCUCAACUCUAAUUCUGCCCAGGUCAUAGGAGCAGGCAGCAGUAGAUUUAUUUGCUCGUGUCUAACAUUCUUCGUUCGUGUCAAGCGUCCCUGUCUUCCUUCCUCUCUUUAAAUUUUGUGUCUUUGUGUUAUCAUAUAUAUACAUGUUUAUAUUCUUGACUAACAUUUUUUAUGGAUUGUAUUUGUAGCACAUUUUUUUCUCGCUUGUGUAGGAACUUACGGAAAAAUAGUUAAGUAUGAUGGUGAAUUUAGUCAUUUGCUUCCCUUCCCUUUUUAGACACCGAUCCCGAUUUACAGUGAAAGACGUUUCACUAAUCGUUUUAAGUGAUUGUCUCUUAGUAUAUUUCCAAGAUUCAAAUGAUCUUCCACAAAGAAAUAAGUUGAAGUUCUUUUUACGAGGCAACUGUUCUGAGUUAUGUAUCUAAGCCACACUUGAUUUCAUAAAGAAGUAACAAAUCUGAUUUCUUCACAAGCCUAUGGCUACUAACAUUUUUUAGACUCUUUGUGAUUCCCAAAAGAUAAGUUUAACAAUGCAGAUUUUCAGAAGGUUGAACAGAGUGAAGAUUGGGCAGCGUUCUUUCUAGUAAAUUUAAUCUAGGGGCCUAAGUGAUCUAACAUGAGACUCGGACUCUUUUUUUGUUUUCCAAAAUUGCUAUAAUACAAACCCAUGGAACAUGCCUAAUUCUUCAAGUUUAAAUGAAGAAAUUAUAUUAGAGCCGAAGUAUAGUGGCUCGAGCCAUUUUUCGAGAGCUAUAAGGUAAAUAUUCCAUUUUAUAUACACGCAUACAUAUAUAUACUAUCUUAUUUUCAGUAAUUCCUUUAAUUAUCUUUUCAUUAUGUGUAUAUAUAUAUUAUUUCCAUAUCACAAAAUAGCUAUUUUUGAACCAUUAUAUACAGUUUUUCAUAGGAUGUAAAUAUCGCACAUAUACAUUAUUUUCUAAAAAAUAUGCAUUCCUAAUCCUCCCAUUUUGUACUAUUGUAUACAAAAAUACAUCAUGAAUAUAUACGUAUAUGUUUACAUCUCAUGUAUACUAACUACUGCCUCUACAGUAAACAUACACAUGUACCAUUUUCAUAUACAUAUAUCACAUAUACUAUCUAAUUCUUUUACAUAUUACAUGUAUACAUUAUUUUCUUAUAAAAAAUAUAUCCCUCCUUAUUCUAUAUUAUACAUAUUAUUCUUAUAUAAAAUAAAUGUCACACAUAUUUUCCUCAUGCAUACAUUAGCAUUAACUACUUCCUUUAUAAAUAUGCAUUUACUCACAUCAUUAUAUUUACUUUAAAAAAGCCUUUUUUUUUUAUACAAAUAGUUUUGAAAGAGUAGUUUCUUUUUCUGCAAUUCUUUAAAUAGGUGAUAAUAAAUAAGAAAUAAUUAAAUAAUCCCGCUCUAGUGUUAAUUAAACUAAGUUUAAAGACUGUCUUCGGAUACGCUCUGAGGGAUGCUUAACACCUUCCCCUCGGGGUAAAUAAAACACUUACCUAGAACCUCACACGUUUCAAAGACUAAAAAAUGGAGUUUACAUUUUUACAAAUGGUUUCCUAAUAUUUCCUAAUAUUUCAAAACCAGAGGAAACAUAGUCAUAAGUUGUGAACUAGUUUUAAUCCGUUAAAAAUAGGGCAUAACACUUAUAUCAGAAAAUUGUUGCCCUAUUUUCUCAGUCGUUUCUCUCUCUUCUCUUCUUCUCUCUCUAGAAACUCCGGCCACAGUCCGAUGAUGUUGAACUACGAAAUCCCUUCUAAUGAUGUUGAGCUGAAGAAGGGAACGUCCCCUAUCUCUGUAUUGCCUUAGUUUUUUAUUUGCCUGUUGAAUGCUCCUGUGUUGGCUUUGAAAUUUGGAAAAUGAUGAAACCAGCUGAGAAAAGUCAUCUUCUUCUCUAAAUGGAUCUGAUUCCUUCAUCAUCUCUGCAAAUACCUUCAAUUUCAUGGUAAGUUCCUUUGUUCAUCAUCUCAGCUUGUUCUUAUACUUUCUCCACAGUAAAGUAAUUAUUUGGUCCUAUUUUGUGCUGCAUGUACACAUCUGAGCAAUGGACAUUGAUAACCACUAAAUGUUUAUUUGUGUACUUCUGAAGACCAACCCUCCCAGGUUGGUUUAUCUCCCUCCGAAAUUCACCUGUGUCAUGGAAAACCAAGAGCAACACAUCAUCUCCCGCUCGUCAACGAAGGCUGAAUACCGAUCGAUAGCAAUGGCCAUUUGUGAAUUGAAAUGGUUAAAGGGAAUUUUGCACAGUUUGGGCGUUGAACACAAGUCUCCGAUUAAAAUGUAGUGUGACAGUUAAGAAGCUUUGUACAUUGCACGAAAUGCGGUGUUUCAUGAACGGACUAAAUAUAUAGAAGUUGAUUGUCACUAUGUCCGGGAUGCACUCCAAUCCGGUAUAAUAUUCCCCAGUCAUGUGUCAACCAGCGAACAAUCGGCAGAUGUGUUUACAAAAGCUUUGGAAAAGUCACAGCAUGAAUAUUUACUUGGCAAGUUGGGCAUUCGAGACCCUCAUGCUCCAACUUUAGAGAAAAUCUGGCAUAGCUUUGUCUUACAAUGGAUAUAGAUACUUCUAAUGCUAAAUCGAUUACUCAAGGCUAAUCCAUUGGAAUAAUGAUCGUCAGGUUGCACGAUUGAUUCGAUUGUAAUAUCUUUCGACUAAUUGUCGUAUUGCUUGUUCAUAGGUUUUUUCUCAUCAACUAUUGUUACAUGCACGUAAUAUCAAUCCCGCUUAAGGAAAUUUUUUUCUUAAUCACAUAAAUUCUUUCUUAAAUUCAAAGAUUAAUUCCAUGUAUGCAUCUCAAUUCUCAAUUUCUGCUUCCUUUUUUAUUUUAAUAAAGUCAUGUCAAGUAUUUAAUCCUAAUUGCAGCCAGCCUUUGAAAAUUUUCUCUUAAUCUUUUGCAUUGUGAAAGACUGAUGUUUGCUUCAGAGUUCUAAAAGGAAAGUUUAAAUUGCAUUUUUUAAAUUGUAUUUUGUAAAACAUAUUGAUUUUUCUGCU
This is a long non-coding RNA of Lycium barbarum (goji berry), 5890 nucleotides long. RefSeq lists it as uncharacterized. Lineage: Eukaryota; Viridiplantae; Streptophyta; Magnoliopsida; Solanales; Solanaceae. The transcript is spliced from 4 exons. The record is from RefSeq and is a predicted model, not a curated record.